CUCCUUAUUCUCCCAAAAUCUCUUUCUUUCUCAUAAACCUUAUGCCGCCGAGAAAAGUACUUCAAUCUUUCUCAUAUUUUGUAGAUUGAUGGAGACGAAGCUAAUCUUCUUACUGGAUUUUGAUUUCACGGGUGAUAAUAUAUAAAUCUGCAAGAUAUGGAUAUGCUACUAGAGAAGAUGUAGGUCUGAAAGAGGAUUAAACGGUAUUCAGUGCAUCCGUUUAGAGGUUCUCAUCUACAAUUCUAAUAUGUUGGCGUUCUUAAGCUUCUGAUUUAAGCUUAUUAGCUUUAUCUAUUUAACAGGUAUAUUGAACAGAAGUUGCAAGACAUUUAUAAAAUAUUAUGAAUCCAGUGCACUUUAAAAGGGCUGUUGGACAUAAGAAUUUGUUCUACAUUGACGACAAGGAUGUUGAGUUCAGAAAUAUAAGAAGUUACUCAUGAUCUUCAUGCACUAUCUAAGUUACGUUUUCGAACCUUUUGUUUUAUACAGUCUCUUUUGGUGAUUGGUGCUCCUUUACCAAAAGCUCCACUUAUUAGAAGUAUAUUAAGGUGGGUACCGAUAAAGGGGAAUAGAACAAUACAGUCUCUUUUUGCUUUUGACUUAUUCAUAGUUACCUUUAUAAUGCAGCAGGAUCAUAGUGUGUAGGAUUCUAAUUUAUGUGAAUUAAACAAGGCAUUGGCAAGCAUUUAUUUUAAAUAAUAUUAGGGCCUGGAAGAGUACAUGAUCUCUUCCUCUGGAAGAAUUUUGUAAGCAAGGUUUUAAAUUUUGUACCGAGUAUUGCAUCGGAAAUAGGAUUUAAAAAUAAAAUGUGCAAGAUAUUGACAGGGGCAACGUUGAGUACCACGUUGUCUCACAUCCUUUUUAUUUUAUGUUUUAAGUGAAUUUCAUCUUAACUUUGUGAUGAAAUGUUUAUUUUCUUUCCAUUUCCGGGACAGGUUAGCAUAUAUUUUGAUCCGCAAGAAGUGGUGAAAGUCACAGUACCUUCAAUGUUUAUUCGAUGUUUCUAUAUUUGCAGUAGUGUUGUAGUAGCAACUGAUUUGUCUUUUCAUUCUAACUAUAUAUAUAGCUUUGCAUUCGUUAUUGACGUUAUUCCAUGAAUCAUGUUGCAUCACAGGACCCUACUUCGUAGUUUUUAAGCAUUUGGAUCACAAUUUUUGUGUUUUUCUUUAUGGAUGGGUUUCUAGAGUCAACCGUUGCAAGUUAAUGUUUUGCUUAAUAUGGUCAUGGUCGCCAACCGUGUGAACUUAGUUUGCAAUUCAUUUAUUUGAGAAAUCUACGUCCCUCUUUUAAACUAUUUAUGAUUGUAGAUUACUACUGACUAAUGACUAUCGAGGUUAGCUUCAGGGUAAAGGGCAAUACUAAGAUGAAAAAAUUAUGAUUUCUUAUGGCGACCAUAAAUGAAAGAUACGGACGUACGGUAUUCAGACAAAUGCCGAGUAAGACCUCAGAUCCACUAGAAAUGGUAGAUGGGAUGGAAUUGGAAAACAACUUGGAGAGUUUUUCAUUUCAUUAAAAUUUAUAAACUACUGGGAUGAGUUUAUGUAUUCUCUGUUCACAUCAAGUCAUGCAACCAGCUUGGAGAGUACCUCAUAUUAAAUCCGUAAAGCAUCCACACCUUAUGCCAUCAACUCGAUCCAAGAUGGGCAAGUUGCUAACAGUAUCGGUGUUAUACUAAGUGUAUGCGAUGGUGAAGUUGGGCACUACAAAACCGCUACAUUGACAACAGUUGUUGUUCCUGCACUGCUGUUUCCUCCUCGGAUUACCAUGAGUAUGUAACAUGUGCUAUUCUUGGUUCUGAAGUAUGCAAGACCCGCAGAUCAAUAUUGUUGGGUGUUCUAUUUUUGUUUGGUUUCUUUCUUGCAUGGUCUAUGACUUCUGAAAUAAUGGAGAUCUGUUUAGUACUCCAGUAAAUUAAUCUUGGAGGGCUGCAGAUCCGAAGUUGUUUAAUGGUGUAAUGGGGCAAAUAGCGAGAAAAUGAAUUGAAGCAUUCCUGCCCCCCUACGCCGAGUAAGAUUCUCUCAGGUCAAGCUAUGCUGCAUAUUAUGCGUUAAGCAUACAACUAUUCCUAGAAACAACCCCUGAUUUAUGUAUAGAAACCAUUCACCCUCAAAUAUUCCAAUUUUUAUUGUGUAAUUUUCCCAGAAACAGCAAGGGAGACUACUGUAAUUUCAUUUUUGUUACCUAUGUUCCCAGGUGAUAAAUAUGGGAAUUAAUUAGGUGCCUGCACUUCUGUUUUUAAACCAGUAGCAUGAAGUUCGGCCCAUCUCAAAACAAAUGGAUAAUGCGUUUAUAUAAUAUAGUGCUUUUAGCAUUAAUGCUAAA
Long non-coding RNA from Papaver somniferum (opium poppy), 2322 nucleotides. RefSeq lists it as uncharacterized. The record is from RefSeq and is a predicted model, not a curated record. The transcript has 5 exons. Lineage: Eukaryota; Viridiplantae; Streptophyta; Magnoliopsida; Ranunculales; Papaveraceae.